This 476-nucleotide ribosomal RNA is filed under the name uncultured bacterium. RNAcentral describes it as "SSU rRNA". It matches the Rfam family "Bacterial small subunit ribosomal RNA", at positions 26 to 518 of the family's 1533-position model. The record is from RNAcentral.
AGGACGAACGCUGGCGGCGUGCUUAACACAUGCAAGUCGAGCGGUGAUCCUCCUUCGGGAGGUGAUCAGCGGCGAACGGGUGAGUAACACGUGGGCAACCUGCCCCUCACACUGGGAUAACCUCGGGAAACCGGGGCUAAUACCGGAUACGACCUCGAGCGGCAUCUCUUGAGGUGGAAAGCUCCGACGGUGAGGGAUGGGCCCGCGGCCUAUCAGCUUGUUGGUGGGGUAAUGGCCUACCAAGGCGACGACGGGUAGCCGGCCUGAGAGGGCGACCGGCCACACUGGGACUGAGACACGGCCCAGACUCCUACGGGAGGCAGCAGUGGGGAAUAUUGCGCAAUGGGCGAAAGCCUGACGCAGCGACGCCGCGUGAGGGAUGAAGGCCUCGGGUUGUAAACCUCUUCAGCAGGGACGAAGCGAAAGUGACGGUACCUAGCAGAAGAAGCACCGGCUAACUACGCGCCAGCAGCCGC